This 444-nucleotide ribosomal RNA is filed under the name uncultured bacterium. RNAcentral's name for it is "bacterial SSU rRNA". It matches the Rfam family "Bacterial small subunit ribosomal RNA", at positions 354 to 796 of the family's 1533-position model. The record is from RNAcentral.
GUAGGGAAUAUUGGGCAAUGGGCGCGAGCCUGACCCAGCCAUGCCGCGUGCCGGAUGAAGGCCUUCUGGGUUGUAAACGGCUUUUCUCAGGGAAGAAAAAGGGGAUGCGUCCCACACUGACGGUACCUGAGGAAUAAGCACCGGCUAACUCCGUGCCAGCAGCCGCGGUAAUACGGAGGGUGCAAGCGUUGUCCGGAUUUAUUGGGUUUAAAGGGUGCGUAGGUGGCCUGUUAAGUCCGGGGUGAAAGCCCACAGCUCAACUGUGGAACUGCCCUGGAUACUGGCGGGCUUGAGUCCAGACGAGGUUGGCGGAAUGGAAGCUGUAGCGGUGAAAUGCAUAGAUAGCUUCCAGAACCCCGAUUGCGUAGGCAGCUGACUAGGCUGGUACUGACACUGAGGCACGAAAGCGUGGGGAGCGAACAGGAUUAGAUACCCCGGUAGUCC